Molecule: long non-coding RNA, 2054 nt
Organism: Gopherus flavomarginatus (Mexican gopher tortoise)
Lineage: Eukaryota; Metazoa; Chordata; Testudines; Testudinidae
Exons: 2
Source: RefSeq, a predicted model, not a curated record
AAAGAAGAAAUCAGUUAGUUUUGAAUGUAACUAAUGCAGUUCUGUGGCGUGUGCCCGGCUGGAUGGAAGCAUUCUGACAGCAGGGUACGUUCCAGGAAUAUGUGCUGCAGAAGUAGUGGAAAAAGAUGAUCCUGGAAUAGCCGAAUGUGUGGGCGAAGGAGUUUCCCAAUGUGCCAGUUAAAAAUAAAGCAAAAUGUGGUCAAAUCGAAGCCCGUGUUAAAGUCGUGGGGAAUAACCUGCCGCCACAGAAACACUGUAAAUAUCCUGUGCAAGCAGAGGCAGGAAUUUAAAAAAUAACUAGAACAGAUAGUAAUUAACAAGGGAAAUUCUGCAUACAAGAGUCCAAUUUGGCCUUAAAGCCUCAAAAAAAUAAAAAUGGACAGUGGAUUUUAGACCAAUUAAUAAAGCUCCCUCCCACACUCCCAUCCCCUGGCAGCAUUAGUAACAGAUCUACUUCAAGUAACGGCAAAAAUACAGGGGCCCCCUAAAUGGCUCUGUGUUAUAAAUUUGGCAAAUUGUUUUUUCACUGUCCCAUUGUGUCCCGAUUCUUGGGCCUGCUUUGCGUUCACUUUUAAGGGCCAACUGGACUUAUUUAAAAACAUUCCCCGGGGCCCACCCGGCACUCUGGCUAUUGUGCACCAACGUGUGGUGCAAAUGCCAGAUCAAUUCUCCCAAAAGAAUUUAAAAAAAAAAAAUCAUCUCCAAUGUAAAUAACGUAUUAGUGUGGGGAGGACGCACUAAAAAGGAGGUGACUUAGUGAACUAAAAAGGGGUUAAAACUCAUUCCGAAAAGGGGUUUCAAGUAGGGUGACCAGAAAGCAAGUGUGAAAAAUCGGGAUGGGGAUGGGGGGUAAUAGGAGCCUAUAUAAGAAAAAGCCCCAAAUAUCAGGACUGUCCCUACAAAAUAGGGACAUCUGAUCACCCUAGUUUCAAGGCUAAUUAAAAAAAAUGCGCAAUGAGUGCAAAGAAAAAUAAAAAAAGUAAAUUAUUUGGGAGUGAGCCUAGGGAAAGAAAAAAAUCAGGUAAAUCAACAAGAGGUAAAAUCAUUAAUAAAUUUCCCAAGGCCAAAGAAUUCUCAUGCAUUGAGGGUAAUGUUAGGAGGGUUUAACUAGUUAAAAAGACACAUCUGGAAUUUUGCCGCUAUAAUGGACUCUUGUGGUGUUUACCAAAAAAAAAAAAAAAAAAAAAAAGGUAGAAUGAAAGUGAGGGCCUAAACCAAAAAGAGCUUUCUGUCAUUUAAAACAAACCGGAAUGCAAGCUCCAGCACUGAAAUUCCCAGAGAUAAACAAGCCGUUUGUAAUUAAGUUGGCAGCAAUCCAAUGCAGUCUAGCGCUGGUACUGAUGCAAAAAGCUAAUAAAAAGUUGAUACCGGUAGCAUACAAGUCUAAAAACUUAACCCUUACGAAGCAGCAGUUUGGAAUCUGUGGAAAAAAAUGUUUAGCUGCUUUGCCCCUACAAACACCUCCCUCUCUUGAAAGUACUUUUUUUCCUUGCAGUUUUUCUGAUAAAAUAUAUCAAAUACCAGAAUGGCCAAAUGGACCUUAAUGUUAACUAGCAAAAAAGUUACUUAGAAAAAUAACAAACAAGCAGUAACGUUACCAUAUGCCCUCCUGACGGGAGGAAAGAGGCAUAAAUACCCACUUCCAAAAACUGAACCAAAGUUAGUUAAAAAAGCAUCCCCGGUAAAUAAAGUGCUAUGCCUCGGGGGGAGGAGAGAGGGGAAGUUUUGCUGUACAAAUUAAUGGGGAAACUAUUUCUGAUUCUAUAACUUCGGCACAGGGAGCAAAGGUCAAUUUAAAAAAAAAUCAUUGGAAAACAGCUAAGGAAAAAAAAUUGGUCCAAAGCCCCCCCCGCCCCCCAAACAAUGUACAAUGCAGUAUUUAGUCUCUAAUGGCACAAAAGUAUUUAAUUUAGGCCAUGGGUGUAUUUGUGUAUUUUUAAAAAGUAUAACAAAAAAUGCCCAAAUAAGUCAUGUAAAUGUAAUGUCAUAAAGGUCAUUAUUAAUACAAUUAUUUACCAAGGUCCUCUAUUUAAAAAAAAAAAAAAAAUUAAAAA